GACGAACGCUGGCGGCGUGCUUAACACAUGCAAGUCGAACGGAAAGGCCCUGCUUUUGUGGGGUGCUCGAGUGGCGAACGGGUGAGUAACACGUGAGUAACCUGCCCUUGACUUUGGGAUAACUUCAGGAAACUGGGGCUAAUACCGGAUAGGAGCUCCUGCUGCAUGGUGGGGGUUGGAAAGUUUCGGCGGUUGGGGAUGGACUCGCGGCUUAUCAGCUUGUUGGUGGGGUAGUGGCUUUCCAAGGCUUUGACGGGUAGCCGGCCUGAGAGGGUGACCGGCCACAUUGGGACUGAGAUACGGCCCAGAAUCCUACGGGCGGCAGCAGUGGGGAAUAUUGCACAAUGGGCGGAAGCCAGAUGCAGCAACGCCGCGUGCGGGAUGACGGCCUUCGGGUUGUAAACCGCUUUCGACUGUGACGAAGCGUGAGUGACGGUAAUGGGUAAGGAAGCACCGGCUAACUACGUG
This 468-nucleotide ribosomal RNA is filed under the name uncultured bacterium. RNAcentral's name for it is "partial 16S ribosomal RNA". It matches the Rfam family "Bacterial small subunit ribosomal RNA", at positions 28 to 507 of the family's 1533-position model. The record is from RNAcentral.